AAAGUCAGGUGGUGGUCCACGAGAAAAAAAAAUAUCAAAAGCUUUAGAAGAAAUUGCCUUAACAGCAUCACUGAUGAGGGCCGAGUUAGCAGUGGCUGGUGAUUUUUACGAGACCUUCCGCAGUCACCCAGUAGAUGAAGAAAUAAUUCCCUAUAGAAUGUGCAGAUAGUUUUGCCUGUUCCAACCCCAGGGCCAUCAACUGUGCUCACAAGUCAUUGUUCCUGCCUCGACAGUGAAUGCUCCUACCUCACCAGUGAAUGCUCCUGCCUCACCAGUCAUUGCUCCUGCCUCACCAGUCAUUGCUCCUGCCUCACCAACACUGAAGCAGGUUCAGAAAUAUAAAAACAGAUAUAAAAGACCGAAAACUUGAGGGCCGAGUUAGCAGUGGCUGAUGAUUUUUACGAGACUUUCCGCAAUCACCCAGUAGAUGAAGAAAUAAUUCCUUGUGGAAUGUGCAGUUUUCCCUGUUCCAACCCUAGGGCCAUCAACUAUGCCUCACCAGUCAUUGUUCCUGCCUCACCAGUGAAUGCUCCUGCCUCACCAGUCAGUUUUCCUGCCUCACCAGUCAUUGUUUCUGCCAGGGCCGGCGCCAGCCUAUUUGGCGCCCUUAGCAGGACUGCAGCUGGCGUCCCCACCCGCCUCCCACUUCACGAUUGGGUUUGCCCACAAAGUAAUCCAGAAUCUACUGGGUGUAAUCGACAGCUCAGGCAGAGCUGUUGGGUGAGUGGAACUCGAAGCUGAUCGAGGGAGGAGUAGUGCGGGGCACUGACGCUCUCAGGCAUCAGUCCAGCGUCUGAAACUCCUCCACGCACAGGUUCCUCUUGGCCAAGAGCCUUGUAGAUUGGGACGACCUCCACACUAAUUUGGGAGAUGGAUGAAGGCCAGUGAACUCGGGUAAAUUCGUGAACACGAGCGUCAGGAACUAACCACCUCCUCUGGGAUCCAGUCAACUGGUCAGCCGUUCAAUGUCCAGUUUGUUGAUAUCACAGGCAGAGCAAACAGUGCCAGCCCCCUUCAUUGUUAUGGGUGAGUCCACUACUCAGUAGGGGUAUAUGGUGGCUGUGUUAUUCCUCUGAAUACACCUGUAUGUAUUCACCUGAAUUGUCUGAGUGUUUGGAGUCGGCAAGAGUAGGUUGACCAUCAGUUUGUGUGUGGGCAAAGGUACCAUAGUGGUGAAGAGAAGCUACUAAUUCUGGUGAUGUUAAAGUAUUAGUGUUGGUGCUGUAACUGGCAUCAUUGCCACUUGUAAUAGUGCUCAAAGGUGCUAUGUAAGAGUAUUGUGUGUGUUCUUGUACAUGUAAGUGGAAAAUGUACCUAAGUUUAACAGUACCAAAUAAGUAAAGCCAGGGAGUUGACCCCCAUCAUUCUCUCCCAUUGCUUGAUAUCAGAAUUACAGUGUACCCAUGUCAUAACCCCCGAGCCACAAUACCAAAGAUCAGAGGUUAUGGAGUAAUUAUAUGAAAUGAAAUAACUAGACAAAACUAAUGGAGAAAAUAAAUGAAGUAAGAAAUUAAGAGGAAACCAGGUUGAGUUUAAAAGUUAUCUUAUAAAUGGUUUCAGCGACUGGAUUGUAAUUUAAAAUGGUACCCAGUUGGGAGGAAGGAAUGAGCUAAUGUAGGUGUUUUUAACUGAUUUGUAAUAACCAUUUCUCUGUGCUGGUAUCUAAUAAACAUUUAACGGUAACUGAGUAUUUCAGAUUGCUAAUAAUUUUGUUCCAUAUUCUUCCAAGGUACAGUACAUUGCACAGUAUAUGUAAUUCUGUACUAAUUAAUUAGGGACAUAAUUAUUUCAGUAGGUUAUGUGUGUGUUUAUAUGCUGCCUUUAUUGAUAUAUACAUUAUAUAUUGUUACUUCUUACCAAAGUUAGAAUGUGUUUAGGCCUGUGUAAUCACGAAUGUGUUAGGCACAUGGUACAUAACAAUAAACGACUGGAGUAAGACUUGG
RNAcentral lists this long non-coding RNA (1943 nucleotides) under Homarus americanus (American lobster). Its description in RNAcentral is "uncharacterized LOC121872042, transcript variant X2". Lineage: Eukaryota; Metazoa; Arthropoda; Malacostraca; Decapoda; Nephropidae. The record is from RNAcentral.